This 2036-nucleotide unclassified non-coding RNA is filed under the name Sipha flava (yellow sugarcane aphid). RNAcentral's name for it is "glutathione S-transferase-like, transcript variant X2". The record is from RNAcentral. Lineage: Eukaryota; Metazoa; Arthropoda; Insecta; Hemiptera; Aphididae.
UAUAUAAAAUAAUUUAUUUUAAUACACAAGUAUUUAUUUUCAUUUAUUAAAAACAAAAAACUUAAAAUAUUACGACUCAAUUAAUUAACUUCCAGAACCAUUUUAAUUCAUAACAAUUUAUAUAUAUAUUAAUUUCUAUAAGCAUUUUGUUAACUCAAUUAAUAAAACACAAAAUUAUUUAUUGGAUUGUAUUAUAUAACGCAGACCUAGCGGCAGUCUUUAUCAUAAAAGCUAUCAACGGCCGCUUUUCUGACUAAUCGUCAACGCGAAACCCGGUUUUCCAUCCAUCCAUCCAUCAUUGGAGUGGGGCCUGGAACGGUCACGACGACGUCCGACACACACCACCAUCAAAACUGUGGCAUUGGCAAACUGGAGAGGAUAUAAUUUGACGAAGCGGGUGAAGUUAUCAACAAUUACAAAGAUGUAUGAAAAUUGAAAAAUACCAGUGGGAAGAGGACCGUAGAAGUCCACUAACAAUUUAUCGAAAGGUUGAGAAGAGAGAAUAGAUUGCAUAGUACCCGCAAUGCAGGUGGUCUUUGAUUUACACUUCUGACACAACUCGCACGCUUGUACUAUACAACGGAUAAUUUUAUUGAAAGCGGGAAAGUAACAAAUAUUUUUUAUAGAUAGUAUAUAUUAGUAAUACUAAUAUAGUUUAAUUCCUAAUGCCUCUUUCCAAAAUAGCCUAUGUUCAAGAGUUUUGAGGACUAUAAAAUGUGUAUUUGACGCUGUAUGAGGCACACGGACACAACAGUAAUGUGGGAGAAAUUGUUGAAUAUCAUACAUAUUAUUUUUAUACAUAUAAUAUUUUUGUGUCGUUAUACCAUGUUGUUACCGAGUCAAAAGAAAAUCGAUUGGCCCAACGAUAACAACUAUACAGUAGAAACUCGAUCGACCGUCUCUCAGUUAUCCGACAUUGCUAUCGUUAAAUAUAAAUAAUUUGGUGUUGGUUUCAAUCAUAUAUGCUAGUUAAAUAAUAAAUAAUGAUAAAAAAACAACUAGGUGAGCCUGGCGCUCACUCAACAUCAAUGGCAGGACGUUACAUAACGAUACCAAAGACAAAUGAAUGAGACAAUUGAGAUUAACUCGUUGCGGCGAUUAUCAAGUGUGUACAAUUUUUUUCUAAUAUCCAACAUAUGAAAUAAACGUGCCGUGAACAAACAAAUUGAAUUAUUUUUAAUUAAAUUUAAUCAGUGAUUGACGAGUAACUCUUACAUAAAAUACGAAAUGUUGCAGCUGAAAAAGCUCGAGCGUCAAAAAAACAAAAGAAAAUCACAGAUUAUUUUGUUUAAAAUUGUUAGAUUUAAUUUAGUAGUAUAGUAGUAUGGUAUUUAAUAAGUAGUAUAUCCAUAGUCCCGGUAUCGAUAGUGAAGGUUGAUCGAGUUUCUACUGUAUUAGAUGACUGAUCAAAAUUACUAAAAUGACCAAAUCAUUCGAUCGAAUCUAACCUAACCUAACUAGACUGUCCAGAUUCAAAUAAUUCAAAUUAUUCAAACGACUGAAAAUUUUCAUCUCUAAUCUGACCGUACUCCGUCACACGUGGACUGCAACCUCAAUAUUCAACUGUUUUCGUUUUCGUAGUAACCAUAUUACAUAAACAAUAUAUCAUCAUGUCAUCGUAUAAACUAACAUACUUCAACGUAACUGGAUUGGGCGAACCUAUUAGAUUCUUGCUGUCCUACUUGAACAUUGAUUUCGAAGAUGUUCGUUUUGAACUUGAACAAUGGCCAUCGAUCAAACGUAGUAAGUAACCAUAAAUACCAAUUUGUAAUGCUAUUUUCAUUAUACUAUUAUGUAUUCAAGAUAUAAAUAACGCUUAUUUUUCUACUGUCUUGAAAUAUGUAUUAUUACCCUGGAAUAAAGAACCAUAGAUACCUUACUAUGAAUAUUUGUAAUUAGGGCUCGUAAGUUGUUGCAUUUGCAUUUUUUUUUUUUUUUUUGGACUAUUAGAUUUAUUACUAGGUAAGCUAGAAAUUCAUUCCAUGACACUACGAAAAAAUAUCAAAUAUUAAUAGUGCUUAUUUUGGUAUAUUCAG